GUACUGGAUUUUUUUAAAUCCAAAAAAAGAAAUAAAAAUAUGUUC
Molecule: non-coding RNA, 45 nt
Organism: Heterocephalus glaber (naked mole-rat)
Lineage: Eukaryota; Metazoa; Chordata; Mammalia; Rodentia; Bathyergidae
Source: Rfam